This 334-nucleotide unclassified non-coding RNA is filed under the name uncultured Peniophorella. Its description in RNAcentral is "partial contains 5.8S ribosomal RNA, internal transcribed spacer 2, and large subunit ribosomal RNA". Lineage: Eukaryota; Fungi; Basidiomycota; Agaricomycetes; Corticiales; Corticiaceae. The record is from RNAcentral.
AACGCAUCUUGCGCUCUUGGGUUAUUCCUAAGAGCAUGCUUGUUUGAGUAACAGAAAAGCUCAACCCCGCUUUCUUUAUUGAGAGUAGUAAAAGGGUUAGGAUCAUGACAGUUUGUUGACUCUUUAAGAGUGAACUCUGUCGAAAGACAAGCAGCCGAACUUUGAAAACAGUGCAAGCUCCGGCUAACUUAUUGUUGUAUAACUUUAUGUCUCGAUAAGCGCACUUUCAAUCCAGUAGGCUUUGAAAACUUCUUAGUUUGAGGGAUUAAUUUCUUUUUAAACUAAAUUUUUAUUGCUUGUUCUCAAAUCAAGUAGGACUACCCGCUGAACUUAA